GAGUUUGAUUAUGGCUCAGGACAAACGCUGGCGGCGCGCCUAACACAUGCAAGUCGAGGGAGAAGCUUACUUUCGGGUGAGUGGAGACCGGCGAACGGGUGAGUAGCACGUGAGGAACCUGCCUUGAAGUUUGGAAUAACCAGUGGAAACGCUGGCUAAUGCUGGAUAUGACCUGGCCCUGCAUGGGGUUGGGUGGAAAGCUUUUUGCGCUUUGAGAUGGUCUCGCGGCCUAUCAGAUUGUUGGUGGGGUAAUGGCCUACCAAGUCGUCGACGGGUAGCUGGAGUGAGAGCUUGUACAGCCACAUUGGGACUGAGACACGGCCCAGACUCCUACGGGAGGCAGCAGUGGGGAAUCUUGCGCAAUGGACGGAAGUCUGACGCAGCGACGCCGCGUGUGGGAGGAAGGCCUUCGGGUUGUAAACCACUUUCGGGAGGGAAGAAGCGUUUU
This 448-nucleotide ribosomal RNA is filed under the name Actinobacteria bacterium canine oral taxon 376. RNAcentral's name for it is "bacterial SSU rRNA". It matches the Rfam family "Bacterial small subunit ribosomal RNA", at positions 9 to 456 of the family's 1533-position model. The record is from RNAcentral. Lineage: Bacteria; Bacillati; Actinomycetota; Actinomycetes.